RNAcentral lists this transfer RNA (70 nucleotides) under Garrulus glandarius (Eurasian jay). RNAcentral describes it as "tRNA-Lys". The record is from RNAcentral. Lineage: Eukaryota; Metazoa; Chordata; Aves; Passeriformes; Corvidae.
CAUUAAGAAGCUAUGAAUUAGCACUAGCCUUUUAAGCUAGAGAAAGAGGACUACCAAUCCUCCUUAAUGA